Molecule: ribosomal RNA, 253 nt
Filed under: uncultured bacterium
Lineage: Bacteria
Description: partial 16S ribosomal RNA
Rfam family: Bacterial small subunit ribosomal RNA
Source: RNAcentral
CACGUAGGGCGCAAGCGUUGUCCGGAAUUAUUGGGCGUAAAGAGCUCGUAGGCGGUCUGUUGCGUCUGCUGUGAAAACUCGGGGCUUAACCCCGAGCCUGCAGUGGAUACGGACAGACUAGAGGUAGGUAGGGGAGAAUGGAAUUCCCGGUGUAGCGGUGAAAUGCGCAGAUAUCGGGAGGAACACCGGUGGCGAAGGCGGUUCUCUGGGCCUUACCUGACGCUGAGGAGCGAAAGCGUGGGGAGCGAACAGG